Molecule: long non-coding RNA, 3236 nt
Organism: Oncorhynchus keta (chum salmon)
Lineage: Eukaryota; Metazoa; Chordata; Actinopteri; Salmoniformes; Salmonidae
Exons: 4
Source: RefSeq, a predicted model, not a curated record
GAGAGAGAGAGAGACAGAGAGACAGAGAGAGAGAGAGACAGAGAGAGAGAGAGAGAGAGAGAGACAGAGAGAGAGACAGAGAGAGACAGAGAGAGACAGAGAGAGACAGAGAGAGAGAGAGAGAGAGAGACAGAGACAGAGAGAGAGACAGAGAGAGAGAGAGACAGAUGUGUAGUGUUUACUGUUAAUUUGUCUGACUCUGUGUCCAGGUGUGUGUGUUCCUCACCAGUCUGACUCUGUGACCAGAUGUGUGUGUUCCUCACCAGUCUGACUCUGUGACCAGGUGUGUGUGUUCCUCACCAGUCUGACUCUGUGACCAGGUGUGUGUGUUCCUCACCAGUCUGACUCUGUGACCAGGUGUGUGUGUUCCUCACCAGUCUGACUCUGUGACCAGGUGUGUGUGUUCCUCACCAGUCUGACUCUGUGACCAGGUGUGUGUGUUCCUCACCAAUCUGACUCUGUGACCAGGUGUGUGUGUGUUCCUCACCAGUCUGACUCUGUGACCAGGUGUGUGUGUGUUCCUCACCAGUCUGACUCUGUGACCAGUUGUGUGUGUUCCUCACCAGUCUGACUCUGUGACCAGGUGUGUGUGUUCCUCACCAGUCUGACUCUGUGACCAGGUGUGUGUGUUCCUCACCAGUCUGACUCUGUGACCAGGUGUGUGUGUUCCUCACCAGUCUGACUCUGUGUCCAGGUGUGUGUGUUCCUCACCAGUCUGACUCUGUGACCAGGUGUGUGUGUUCCUCACCAGUCUGACUCUGUGACCAGGUGUUUGUGUUCCUCACCAGUCUGACUCUGUGACCAGGUGUGUGUGUUCCUCACCAGUCUGACUCUGUGUCCAGGUGUGUGUGUUCCUCACCAGUCUGACUCUGUGACCAGGUGUGUGUGUUCCUCACCAGUCUGACUCUGUGACCAGGUGUGUGUGUUCCUCACCAGUCUGACUCUGUGACCAGGUGUGUGUGUUCCUCACCAGUCUGACUCUGUGACCAGGUGUGUGUGUUCCUCACCAGUCUGACUCUGUGACCAGGUGUGUGUGUUCCUCACCAGUCUGACUCUGUGACCAGGUGUGUGUGUUCCUCACCAGUCUGACUCUGUGACCAGGUGUGUGUGUUCCUCACCAGUCUGACUCUGUGACCAGGUGUGUGUGUGUUCCUCACCAGUCUGACUCUGUGACCAGUUGUGUGUGUUCCUCACCAGUCUGACUCUGUGACCAGGUGUGUGUGUUCCUCACCAGUCUGACUCUGUGACCAGGUGUGUGUGUUCCUCACCAGUCUGACUCUGUGACCAGGUGUCCUCACCAGUCUGACUCUGUGACCAGGUGUGUGUGUUCCUCACCAGUCUGACUCUGUGACCAGGUGUGUGUGUUCCUCACCAGUCUGACUCUGUGACCAGGUGUCCUCACCAGUCUGACUCUGUGUCCAGGUGUGUGUGUUCCUCACCAGUCUGACUCUGUGACCAGGUGUGUGUGUUCCUCACCAAUCUGACUCUGUGACCAGGUGUGUGUGUUCCUCACCAGUCUGACUCUGUGACCAGGUGUGUGUGUUCCUCACCAGUCUGACUCUGUGACCAGUUGUGUGUGUUCCUCACCAGUCUGACUCUGUGACCAGGUGUGUGUGUUCCUCACCAGUCUGACUCUGUGACCAGGUGUGUGUGUUCCUCACCAGUCUGACUCUGUGACCAGGUGUGUGUGUUCCUCACCAGUCUGACUCUGUGUCCAGGUGUGUGUGUUCCUCACCAGUCUGACUCUGUGACCAGGUGUGUGUGUUCCUCACCAGUCUGACUCUGUGACCAGGUGUUUGUGUUCCUCACCAGUCUGACUCUGUGACCAGGUGUGUGUGUUCCUCACCAGUCUGACUCUGUGUCCAGGUGUGUGUGUUCCUCACCAGUCUGACUCUGUGACCAGGUGUGUGUGUUCCUCACCAGUCUGACUCUGUGACCAGGUGUGUAUGUUCCUCACCAGUCUGACUCUGUGACCAGGUGUGUGUGUUCCUCACCAGUCUGACUCUGUGACCAGGUGUGUGUGUUCCUCACCAGUCUGACUCUGUGUCCAGGUGUGUGUGUUCCUCACCAGUCUGACUCUGUGACCAGGUGUGUGUGUUCCUCACCAGUCUGACUCUGUGACCAGGUGUUUGUGUUCCUCACCAGUCUGACUCUGUGACCAGGUGUGUGUGUUCCUCACCAGUCUGACUCUGUGUCCAGGUGUGUGUGUUCCUCACCAGUCUGACUCUGUGACCAGGUGUGUGUGUUCCUCACCAGUCUGACUCUGUGACCAGGUGUUUGUGUUCCUCACCAGUCUGACUCUGUGACCAGGUGUGUGUGUUCCUCACCAGUCUGACUCUGUGUCCAGGUGUGUGUGUUCCUCACCAGUCUGACUCUGUGACCAGGUGUGUGUGUUCCUCACCAGUCUGACUCUGUGACCAGGUGUGUGUGUUCCUCACCAGUCUGACUCUGUGACCAGGUGUGUGUGUUCCUCACCAGUCUGACUCUGUGACCAGGUGUGUGUGUUCCUCACCAGUCUGACUCUGUGACCAGGUGUGUGUGUUCCUCACCAGUCUGACUCUGUGACCAGGUGUGUGUGUUCCUCACCAGUCUGACUCUGUGACCAGGUGUGUGUGUUCCUCACCAGUCUGACUCUGUGACCAGGUGUGUGUGCUCCUCACCAGUCUGACUCUGUGACCAGGUGUCUGUGUUCCUCACCAGUCUGACUCUGUGACCAGGUGUCCUCACCAGUCUGACUCUGUGACCAGGUGUGUGUGUUCCUCACCAGUCUGACUCUGUGACCAGGUGUGUGUGUUCCUCACCAGUCUGACUCUGUGACCAGGUGUGUGUGUUCCUCACCAGUCUGACUCUGUGACCAGGUGUGUGUGUGUUCCUCACCAGUCUGACUCUGUGACCAGGUGUGUGUGUUCCUCACCAGUCUGACUCUGUGACCAGGUGUGUGUGUUCCUCACCAGUCUGACUCUGUGACCAGGUGAAUGUGUUCCUCACCAGUCUGACUCUGUGACCAGGUGUGUGUGUUCCUCACCAGUCUGACUCUGUGACCAGGUGUGUGUGUUCCUCACCAGUCUGACUCUGUGACCAGGUGUGUGUGUGUUCCUCACCAGUCUGACUCUGUGACCAGGUGUGUGUGUUCCUCACCAGUCUGACUCUGUGACCAGGUGUCCUCACCAGUCUGACUCUGUGACCAGGUGUGUGUGUUCCUCACCAGUCUGACUCUGUGACCAGGUGUGUGUGUU